GUCCCCCAAUCCCCACAGCCGCCCGCCCGCACCCUCCCUCCUCCCUCGUCUCAGCCGCCACCCCCACGAACCCUAGCCGCGCCCUCCUGCAUCCUCCCCUCCCUGGUCCGCCCCAAGCUCCUUCUCCUCCUUCGUCCUCACAUGCUCCACCCUGAGCACGCCGGCGGCGAAGCGCACCGCGAGGCCCCGGAGCAACUCAGCCAGAGCCCCUCUGUACAGGAGGAACCCCGCGGCCAGCGCAGCCAACAACGGUGGCGCGUACAAGAGCUCGGCCUUGAUGGGCCGCCCGCCGUCCGCGAGGGUCACGUCCGCGCUGAAGGGCAGUAACGAGCACAUGGUGCGGUACGAGGAGGUACGCAGGGAGAAGGUGCACGGCUCCGCCUAGCACCAUGUGUGCGGCGACGGGGACAUGCAAUCACGGGCAGAUUUUGGGGAGCGGCACAAGCAUCAAGCAAUGGCUGAUUCCAAGAUUUCAGAUACUUCUGUAGAUGAAUUUCUGGGCUAAGAUACAUUGUGUUAAUUGUCCGAAAGAUGGAACGAUUUGCUCCACGGAAAUUAUCUCCUUAGUUGCAUUCCAUUUACAGACCCGACAUCCUCCAAUAUUACCUGAUUUGGUGCUGACUUUCAUCUUCCAGUUCAUGUUCAUUGCCUUGCUGUGGUUGCACCGUGGUCUGUGGGGAACAUGAACAAAUACCUUUGCUACAACCGAGGUCUUAACAGACCAGUCAAGGAGAGAUAGGUUCGGGGUUGUUAUGCUCUGUCCCUCGAGGUAAGUUUGCUAGGCAGCGGCUUACUCCUCUCUUGUUUUUUUAGUUUUGCCCAUGGUAUCGAAAUUACAUCUGGUUGAUGGUGUCAAGUUUAGGCAGGUGCCAUCUGCAUUUUGUGAAGAUUGCCGUCAUCUAGAUUUUAUUGCGGCAUGAUGCAUAUGUAAUAAGGAAUUUGGUGUUUCAGAAGCAUCAUUGGAAGUUCGUAUGCUAAUAUCUCAAUUGGCAAGAUAAAAAGACCUCCACUUCUUACCUUCCAGUCAUUUUAAUAUUAUAGGAAUGUAAGUUGAAUUCAGUGCCCCUGCAUUUACACGACUGGGUGUUAUUCAUUUUUUGUUUCCUUUGAUGCGCUGAGUACAGAUUGAAGCAUGUUGGGUACAAAAUGUUUCCAAGAUUAGUUUAGGAUCAGAACUAGUUUAGGAUCAAGAUAAAAACCUGGUUAUAUGUUGCAUCUCAAAAUCAAGAUGUUGAUUCGAGAAGAGAAAGGAGCUGUGGCGUGACAUGGUGCGAGACCUUUGUCCCGGAGCAUGCAGCUUGUCAGUAUAAAGUAAUGGGUAUCAGUGUUUUCUCAUACAUAUGAUUCUGAAGUAAUAGAGAGCAGGAAGUGGUAGGCUUAAUUUCAGUUAGAUAAAUAGGUAUACUGCAGCAUCAUAUGUUCCUUUGUAUUUUUCUUGCCAGGUUCAUGCUUUAUACAUCGUGUAUAUACGCAUAAAGUACACCCACAUAAAUUAUAGUUCGUAGUAUCGGCAGCAAACAGAGGCGCAGCUAAGCAGUAGCAUGUCCCUAUUAUAAAUGGGUAGAAAAAGCGCUUAUCAAAAGAACAGUAUCUCUGUUACAUGAUAAGAACGAAUGUUUGCUUUUAUGCAUAUGUCUAAAAGCACUCCACUAUAAUGCAAAUAGUAUCAUGUUCAGAGCCUUAAUAAUGGCAGCUGUAAACCCAAAAUAAUCCAUCUUAUAAUUUAGUAUACAAAAUAGAUUCCGGUGAGAAUCACUUCAAUAAGAAUGCUAGCUGCUACCAUAUAUCUAAUUGGCCCCAGAUCGAAAAUUUCAGUUGUUAAUCUCUGAAUGCAGUAUGCACUUGUGCUGAAACAUAGAGCGUGCGGUGUUGCUUUGUACAGGAAUAAAAAAUCUCAGUUGUUAAUCUCUGAAUGAAGAAGGGUCAUGGUUCCCCACCUCUCUACUACUCAUAUUAAUGCCACCCUUUGCUAAUUUAUCUUUGGUUGUUCAAUGCAUGAUAACAUUUUUUGAAUUUGCAACAUAUGAUACCUUCAUCUUCUGAGUAGGAAGUCACUGGAUAAUAUAAUCAGAUGAAUACAGCGUUAGAAGAUGCCACAACCUCGAAUAUACCUAAAUCUGGAAAAAAUUGGUUAGGUAGGAGGUCUGUUGUCACAAUUUUCAAUUUUUUAGUGCAAGAUGGACUCAGUUUGGGGUUCUUCAUCUAUUAUCAGCGAGCGUUAGUUUUGUAUUUUGUGUCUACUUCCACUUAAUCAUUAAAAAUUUCAUGACACAUCAGAUUUUAUAAAGGGCUAUUUCACAAGCAUUCGAUAGUAAGAGAAUUAGUCCAUGAUAUUGCCUCAACUGCAUGUAAUGACUGAUAAGCAAGCUAUUCGCCAAAAUAAAAUUAUUGGUUGAUCUGCUUACCACCUUCUCAUUUGAGGGUCUCUUGCUAUAGUCAUGUGAAAGGAUGGUGUUCGGAGCUAUAUAUUGGAAGAGCUCCCCGGAUUGCGCCGUUCCUGGCUGUCCGAUCGUAGUGAAUUUCCCACCUCGCUUCCCCUCAGACGUUGGAUAUUCACUGCAUAUUUCACCUUGUUAUUUCUUUCACAUGUGUAUGACCGGUGGGCCGCUUCGUCGGUGGGGUCGUCGGUGUGAGGGUCUGAUUGGUUGCGCCUCUGGAAAGCCCAUUGUCCCCCAAUCCCCACAGCCGCCCGCCCGCACCCCUUCCUCCUCCCUUGUCUCAGCCGCCACCCCCACGAACUCUAGCCGCGCCCUCCUGCAUCCUCCCCUCCCUGGUCCGCCCCAAGCUCCUCCUCCGUCCUCACAUGCUCCACCCUGAGCACGCCGGCGGCGAAGCGCACCGCGAGGCCCCGAAGCAACUCAGCCAGAGCCCCUCCGUACAGGAGGAACCCCGCGGCCAGCGCAGCCAACAACAGUGGCGCGUACAAGAGCUCGACCUUGAUGGGCCGCGUGCCGUACGCGAGGGUCACGUCCACGCUGAAGGGCAGCAACGAGCAUAUGGUGCGGUACGAGGAGGUGCGCAGGGAGAAGGUGCACGGUCCGCCUAGCACCAUGUGUGCGGCGGCGGGGAGGCAAUCACGGGCAGAUUUUGGGGAGCGGCACAAGCAUCAAGCAAUGGCUGAUUCCAAGGCAUGUCAAGAUCAAGGAUAUUUAAACUUGUUUCUUCUAUUGAUGGAAGAUUUCAGAUACUUCUGUAGAUGAAUUUCUGGCUAAGAUACAUUGUGUUAAUUGUCCGAAAGAUGGAACGAUUUGCUCCACGGAAAUUAUCUCCUUAGUUGCAUUCCAUUUACAGUUCAUGUUCAUUGCCUUGCUGUGGUUGCACCGUGGUCUGUGGGGAACAUGAACAAAUACCUUUGCUACAACCGAGGUCUUAGCAGACCAGUCAAGGAGAGAUUGGUUCGGGGUUGUUAUGCUCUGUCCCUCGAGGAAGAAAUAGAAGUUGAGGGGAAGCUAUUGCGUGCUAGGAAAUCAGUUGGUGUUGUCUAUGUUGGUUUCAGGAAGAAAAGGACCGGCAAAUUGAUGGCUCAGGCACGUCAUACAAAGUACCUUGCUGUAUCUUGCAGAUUGUGAGGAUUCCCUUCUGUUGUAAGAUAAAAACCUGGUUGUAUGUUGCAUCUCAAAAUCAAGAUGUUGAUUCGAGAAGAGAAAGGAGCUGUCGGCGUGGCAUGGUGCGAGACCUUUGUCCCGGAUCAUGCAGUUUGUCAGUAUAAAGUAAUGGGUAUCAGUGUUUUCUCAUACAUAUGAUUCUGAAGUAAUAGAGAGCAGGAAGUGGUAGGCUUAAUUUCAGUUAGAUAAAUAGGUAUACUGCAGCAUCAUAUAUUCCCUCGUAUUUUUCUUGCCA
Long non-coding RNA from Triticum dicoccoides, 3840 nucleotides. RefSeq lists it as uncharacterized. The record is from RefSeq and is a predicted model, not a curated record. The transcript is spliced from 8 exons. NCBI's taxonomy places the organism in Eukaryota, Viridiplantae, Streptophyta, Magnoliopsida, Poales, Poaceae.